CAUCUGAGAUAAACAUUGUUAUCUCUGUUUGUUUCAGAUGGAAAAUGAAGGUUCGAAGAGGCCAUAUAAGAUGACAAAAGUGACAGAGGUUGUAACUGGCAGAGUGGGGAUUCAAGCUCAGGUGUUGCCCUCCUAUUCUCAAGCCUGCUUUUCUUUGCAGCCCCUAACCCAUCAGUGAGGAAAUCCAGACAGCAGCCUCCCCAGCCCCGCGCAGAAGGCCUUUCUCCAGACCUUUCCCCCAUCAGCCUGCGCACACUCACUGACACCUUACAUUUGCCUGAGUUUCUAAUCGCAGUCAUCAUCCCUGUAGUCACAGAACUGACCCUUCUGACAGAGUCCCCCUGAAAUGUCAGGAACUAUGGUCUGGGGACAAAAGUGAACACAGCACGGUUCCACUCUCCAGGAGCUUCAUCAUUUGAGCGAUGAAGUCUGCAGUGUUUAACCUCAAUGUCUUCACCUUAAAGUGGGGUUCCUGAUCCUUGGCCCUAAGGGCUCUUGCAUGGGUUAAAGUGGUGCCACGUGUCUUGCACUGGGCCUGGCUUGAAAGAAGAAAUCAAAAUAUAUCAGUUCUCUUACUACUACCUCCAGCUUUUGGCAAGAGGCAGAACAGAAACUUCCUUAGAAAUGUUAAAAGGUAAGAUGGAAUCGGAGGUCAGGCAGCAUUUGGAGGUUUUCUUCUAUUAGUUGCUACCAAAGCUUGGUGUACUCAUAAAAUCUGAAUGUAGUAUAGCUUCCAACCAUCGGAGAAAUUUAAAGACAGCUUUGUGGUGGAAUUUUAUGGUUUGCAGGAUGAGGCCUGAGUGGACAUGGCUUCUUCGCCAUGCUUUGAAUAUGAUGCCACUUGGGGUCUAGGUCUCUCCCAGUCUGUCAAAGUGGGUCCAAAUCAGAGCAGGAAAGGGGAAACAUUUUCCUUACUCUAACAUUCAACUCCGUUGUUGGUCAAAGGAAACCCUUUCUAAGGAGCCAGUUUUUUUGGAAUGAACUGGAAGCUGCCCUGUUCAAGGCAGAACAAAGAUCACCAUUGCAAGUGGUGAAGGGCCCCUCUCAGAGAACCGACAACAACCUACCAGGCGGAUACUGCUGUCCAUUCUUCAGAGGCAACGAAACCCAGGCUGUAAGAGUUCAAAUGAGCCGCGCAGGCUGCUAGAACAUGGUAGGGCAGAUACUCAAUCUGGGGGCUGCUUGAUUCUGUAGCUUAAAUGUACUUUCCUUAAACUAGCACUUCUUAAAAUGUACUUAGAAUGGGAAUACUGUGGAUGAUGAUGUUGUGGAAAAGAAACACAAGGAAGGAUGGGCCAUAAUCCAAUGUAUUUUGGGAAUGUUAGAUCAAAAACAUUUAUACCUUUUAAAAACAGCUGCAGAACUUCUCAGAGCUUUUA
This 1379-nucleotide long non-coding RNA is filed under the name Felis catus (domestic cat). RNAcentral's name for it is "lncRNA (ENSFCAG00000049662.1)". The record is from RNAcentral. Lineage: Eukaryota; Metazoa; Chordata; Mammalia; Carnivora; Felidae.